Molecule: ribosomal RNA, 440 nt
Filed under: uncultured bacterium
Lineage: Bacteria
Description: partial 16S ribosomal RNA
Rfam family: Bacterial small subunit ribosomal RNA
Source: RNAcentral
CCUACGGGAGGCAGCAGUGGGGGAUAUUGCACAAUGGGGGAAACCCUGAUGCAGCGACGCCGCGUGGGUGAAGAAGCGCCUCGGCGCGUAAAGCCCUGUCAGCAGGGAAGAAAAUGCAGGUACCUAAAGAAGAAUCACCGGCUAAAUCCGUGCCAGAAGCCGCGGUAAUACGGAGGGGGCACGCGUUAUCCGGAUUGACUGGGGGGAAAGGGGGCGCAGACGGCGAGGCAAGCCAGGAGUGAAGGCCCGGGGUCCAAUCCGGGGAGUUCUCUUGAAACUGGGUGGCUAGAGUGCAGGAGGGGCAGGCGGAAUUCCUGGUGUAGCGGUGAAAUGCGUAGAUAUCGGGAGGAACACCAGUGGCGAAGGCGGCCUGCUGGACUGCAACUGACGUUGAGGCCCGAAAGCGUGGGGAGCAAACAGGAUUAGAUACCCUUGUAGUC